This is a long non-coding RNA of Mesocricetus auratus (golden hamster), 1585 nucleotides long. RefSeq lists it as uncharacterized. Lineage: Eukaryota; Metazoa; Chordata; Mammalia; Rodentia; Cricetidae. The record is from RefSeq and is a predicted model, not a curated record. The transcript has 4 exons.
UUGACAACGCGUUUGUUUUUUCAUCCCUGUUCUGAAGCCUGAAAGUGCGUGGUUGAGUUGCUACCAGAUUGAUUUCUUUCUGUGGUUACCAUGGACGCGGACAUCUACAUACAAACAAUAGUGUGGGCGGGGCGCAAUUCGGCCCCCAGCAGUGAUGGUAGAGACUGCUAACGGCUACCAGCCAGGGCCUAACCCAAGCCUCUUGUGCCCUGCAGUCAUCACGGCUUUAGAAGAAAACCGAUUCUCUGGAAUGUGGUGCGUGCACAUGCCUGCCCUACCAGCAGGUCCCACCUGCCGAGCAGCAUCUCUGUGAGGAAUAGACGAAGCCAGAUUCCGAGCCUUACUUGGGGCUUGCACACAGUGAACAAACCAACUGAUUGGUCCAUUUUUGACACUGUUGCUAUAAAACAGCGGCCCAUGUGACCCAGCUCCAGAAUGCUAUGCCAUUCUGAAAACCAUGGAAAAGGACCUGACUUGGAUGAAGCCUUCAGUGCUGGGGCUGUAGCUCCGAUGGUGGAAUGCUUGCCUGGUACAACUCGUGACGACCCAAAGCCUGGCCCGAAGCGACGGCUGCUCGAUAGCCCUUUGGCCCAGGGGUCAGGAAGCCGACCCAGCAGGUUCCCCAGGGACACAAGGCCUGUUCCUGUGAGAUCCAUUGGGGCAGGAGUGACUGUUACCAGUCCAUCCAAGGAGGCAUGAAUCAGCUCUGCUACGUCUCCGGUCUCUCUUGCGUAUGAACUGCCUGCAACCUCCUUGCUCCAAUUCUACAGAGAACACCAACGUUCAGCUUCCGAAUAGACACAGUGGCUCCCCCCCCCCCAGGCUCUUAGCUGUGGUUCUGUGACCUUUGGUGGCUUUUCUCAGUAUAUCUCUGCAGACUCCCUGGUUUGUCCCUCUCCACUACACUCCAGGGAUGGUCAUCCUUCUGCUUAGAACACCCUCCCCAUCCAAUCCUAUUUCCAUUCUGAGAGUGUCUCUGCUCUCCGGCUCCUGCUCUGGGACUCCCAGCCUCUAAGCAGUAUGUGGUAGGCCUGGCCUGGGGUCCAUCCUGGCCAUAGGUGCUAUGCUUGACCACAGCAACCCUCUGGCCUGGGUUUUCUUAGUCAGCCUCUAUGGUUGUCCCCAGGUUGUGGGCGUUGACCAAGCCUGAUUGGCAUGUGAAGAGGGCACCGUUUAGAGACAAGAAAAGACUCACCCCGUGUCGUUUAGCUCAUACAAGGGUGAGCUCACCUUCUAAUCAGGUGCUCUCUGUUUGUUCCAGAAUUAAACAGGCCAGGCCCGGCAAUCCAAAGGUUCCCUGCAGUGCAACUCCAAGCAGACCUGAGGCCGCCUCUGAGGGGCUGUGCUCUCCUAGAGAGCAGCCCUUUGUUCCACGUGGGGAUGCCGUUAUUACUUUUACGAUAUUCAAAGACACACACGUAAGGCUGCCUUCUGAAAAAGUGUCGCAAUGACUGGAAAAGUUUGCACGCAAUGCACUUCCCUGCUUCCCAUUCAAAAUUCACAGUCAGGACCAGUUUUCUGGGAGAGAGGACAGUCUGAGGACGGUCUUCCACAGGCAGACGUGUAAAGAGAGGCCUUAAUGUCA